This 21-nucleotide non-coding RNA is filed under the name Caenorhabditis elegans. The record is from RNAcentral. Lineage: Eukaryota; Metazoa; Nematoda; Chromadorea; Rhabditida; Rhabditidae.
UGCUAUGGCUAUGCCCACAUU